RNAcentral lists this ribosomal RNA (497 nucleotides) under uncultured bacterium. Its description in RNAcentral is "partial 16S ribosomal RNA". It matches the Rfam family "Bacterial small subunit ribosomal RNA", at positions 28 to 507 of the family's 1533-position model. The record is from RNAcentral.
GAUGAACGCUGGCGGCGUGCCUAAUACAUGCAAGUCGAGCGAACGGACGAGAAGCUUGCUUCUCUGAUGUUAGCGGCGGACGGGUGAGUAACACGUGGAUAACCUGCCUAUAAGACUGGGAUAACUUCGGGAAACCGGAGCUAAUACCGGAUAAUAUUUUGAACCGCAUGGUUCAAAAGUGAAAGACGGUCUUGCUGUCACUUAUAGAUGGAUCCGCGCUGCAUUAGCUAGUUGGUAAGGUAACGGCUUACCAAGGCAACGAUGCAUAGCCGACCUGAGAGGGUGAUCGGCCACACUGGAGCUGAGACACGGUCCAGACUCCUACGGGAGGCAGCAGUAGGGAAUCUUCCGCAAUGGGCGAAAGCCUGACGGAGCAACGCCGCGUGAGUGAUGAAGGUCUUCGGAUCGUAAAACUCUGUUAUUAGGGAAGAACAUAUGUGUAAGUAACUGUGCACAUCUUGACGGUACCUAAUCAGAAAGCCACGGCUAACUACGUG